Oxyura jamaicensis (ruddy duck) is the source of this 1465-nucleotide long non-coding RNA. RefSeq lists it as uncharacterized. The transcript is spliced from 3 exons. Lineage: Eukaryota; Metazoa; Chordata; Aves; Anseriformes; Anatidae. The record is from RefSeq and is a predicted model, not a curated record.
CUGAACUGCUUGCUUGUUCUUUGUUCUGCAACAAGCUGCCCUUGCUGUCUGUAGGUAAAUGCCCAGCAAAGAGGACCUCUUUGGAGCCUCCAAGACAGAGAUGCAUGGCCAUGCUGGCCCAGUUUCACGUGUGUGAGGCAGAACAAUGUGAUGCUGUGCAGUUGCAGCACUGGGCUGCAGCUGGCCCUGAAGGCAAGGAUGGUUGGGGCUGUGCCCCUGCCCUCAGCCACACGCAGGAUAGCAGCACCCCAGCAGUACCCAGGGGAUGCCGCAGUGCCAGGGACUGGCAUUCAGCUCCUGCAGCCCUUCUGUAAAUGGGUGACGGUCCAUAUCUCUUCCAUCAGGGCAGCAAGACGAUUUCCCAGUAAUUCAAGUACAGAAAGAUAAAUUUUCAGCUAACUUGUUAACCUGAUUGGUGAGCACUAACUCCAGUGUCACAUUUCACCCCAAAAUAAUUGGGAAAUUAUGAUUUGCAUUCAUUCCAUCUUCACCUGCAGGUCAGAGGUCUGCUGCAUGUCCUACAGCAUUUGAACAGCUGUUUUGAGGUUCCCUGGAAAGUGCUGAGGGUAUUAACAUCAGCACAGGUGGUUGCAGAGGGGGCUGGUAUUCGCUGAUCGAAGCCCUGACUUCUAAUAAAGACCUCCGAGGGCUGCUCCAAGUCUUGUCUUGCCAGCAUCCAGCAUGUCAGAUAAAUGCAGACAUGCAAGAGGAAGAGAGAGGACAAGAAAAUGCUGCCAGAAGAGCCUGCAGCUUCGUGUGCAUCUUUACAGUGAUCAGUUGGCAUCAGGUGAGAACAUGUCAUGUUGUGGAAUUACAUCACGCAACUGCUCUUCAUGACAAACUGCCAGAUGUGUGUUACGGAGUUUGGAAGCAGUAGCCUGUAAGCAAAAUGGAUAUGAAAUGGAGAGAGUCAGGAGCAGCUCUGCCGGCGCUCGGGAUUGCACAGUGGAGCAGGGAACGGAGUCUUCCCCAUGCAGGUUCUCCUGCUUUUGGCUGUUCUGGGUUUUUGCUUUGGCACUUCUUCUCUUUAUGUGAGGCACACACACACCAACGAUUUCUUCCCCUCUUGCUGUACUGUGUGUGCUUAGAGUCCCGAAGCAAAUAUUUCCAUCCCUGCAUUCUUUAAUGACAGUGCAAUAAUCACUAAUAUAAACCAGAAAGGAGCCCUCGGCUUUGCUAUUCAAGGGAGUGCAUGGACCGGCAAGGUUAACAGCACUAUUUAUUUGCACUCUUUCUGGUAUUUCCCCAUUUCAUGUGAUUAUUUUCUAUUUACAAAUCUAGUCCUGGAGACCCACGGCAGAAAAGCCCGACCAGAUAAUGUAACACAACUGCCUACAACUUAUAUUUUCUGGUAACUAUUAAUAACUUACGUAGAAAGUUAUACUGUCUUAUAUACAAAGCCCUCUCUUUCUUCUUCCUACGUUCGGUCUUCAUUUUGCAUUCCUCCCGGUGAGGAGCAACAAGC